RNAcentral lists this ribosomal RNA (232 nucleotides) under uncultured bacterium. RNAcentral's name for it is "partial 16S ribosomal RNA". It matches the Rfam family "Bacterial small subunit ribosomal RNA", at positions 109 to 334 of the family's 1533-position model. The record is from RNAcentral.
AGUAACACGUAGGUAACCUGCCCAUGUGUCCGGGAUAACUGCUGGAAACGGUAGCUAAAACCGGAUAGGUAUACAGAGCGCAUGCUCGGUAUAUUAAAGCGCCCUUCAAGGCGUGAACAUGGAUGGACCUGCGGCGCAUUAGCUAGUUGGUGAGGUAACGGCCCACCAAGGCGAUGAUGCGUAGCCGGCCUGAGAGGGUAAACGGCCACAUUGGGACUGAGACACGGCCCAA